RNAcentral lists this ribosomal RNA (347 nucleotides) under Salmonella enterica. Its description in RNAcentral is "bacterial SSU rRNA". It matches the Rfam family "Bacterial small subunit ribosomal RNA", at positions 895 to 1242 of the family's 1533-position model. Lineage: Bacteria; Pseudomonadati; Pseudomonadota; Gammaproteobacteria; Enterobacterales; Enterobacteriaceae. The record is from RNAcentral.
UAAAACUCAAAUGAAUUGACGGGGGCCCGCACAAGCGGUGGAGCAUGUGGUUUAAUUCGAUGCAACGCGAAGAACCUUACCUGGUCUUGACAUCCACAGAACUUUCCAGAGAUGGAUUGGUGCCUUCGGGAACUGUGAGACAGGUGCUGCAUGGCUGUCGUCAGCUCGUGUUGUGAAAUGUUGGGUUAAGUCCCGCAACGAGCGCAACCCUUAUCCUUUGUUGCCAGCGGUCCGGCCGGGAACUCAAAGGAGACUGCCAGUGAUAAACUGGAGGAAGGUGGGGAUGACGUCAAGUCAUCAUGGCCCUUACGACCAGGGCUACACACGUGCUACAAUGGCGCAUACAA